This 425-nucleotide ribosomal RNA is filed under the name uncultured bacterium. Its description in RNAcentral is "partial 16S ribosomal RNA". It matches the Rfam family "Bacterial small subunit ribosomal RNA", at positions 354 to 796 of the family's 1533-position model. The record is from RNAcentral.
GUGGGGAAUCUUGCGCAAUGGGCGAAAGCCUGACGCAGCCAUGCCGCGUGAAUGAUGAAGGUCUUAGGAUUGUAAAAUCCUUUCACCGGUGAAGAUAAUGACUGUAGCCGGCGAAGAAGCCCCGGCUAACUUCGUGCCAGCAGCCGCGGUCAUACGACGGGGGCUAGCGUUGCUCGGAUUUACUGGGCGAAGAGGGCGCGUAGGCGGACAUUUAAGUCAGGGGUGAAAUCCCGGGGCUCAACCUCGGAACUGCAUUGGAAACUGGGUGUCUUGAGUAUGAGAGAGGUGAGUGGAACUCCGAGUGUAGAGGUGAAAUUCGUAGAUAUUCGGAAGAACACCAGUGGCGAAGGCGACACACUGGCUCAUUACUGACGCUGAGGCGCGAAAGCGUGGGGAGCAAACAGGAUUAGAAACCCCGGUAGUCC